RNAcentral lists this ribosomal RNA (267 nucleotides) under uncultured bacterium. RNAcentral's name for it is "partial 16S ribosomal RNA". It matches the Rfam family "Bacterial small subunit ribosomal RNA", at positions 94 to 354 of the family's 1533-position model. The record is from RNAcentral.
CCGGACGCACGGGUGAGUAACACGUGAGUGACCUGCCUUUUAGACUGGAACAACUUACCGAAAGGUGAGCUAAUGCCGGAUGGGUUAUAUAAGUGCAUGUUUAUAUAGGAAAAGUUGGGGAGACCUGACGCCGAAAGAUGGACUCGCGUCCCAUUAGCUAGUUGGUAGGGUAAUGGCCUACCAAGGCGACGAUGGGUAGCCGGCCUGAGAGGGUGGCCGGCCACACUGGGACUGAGACACGGCCCAGACUCCUACGGAAGGCAGCAG